UACGGAGGGUGCAAGCGUUAAUCGGAAUUACUGGGCGUAAAGCGCACGCAGGUGGCUGAGUCAGUCGAUUGUGAAAGCCCUGGGCUUAACCUGGGAAUUGCAGUCGAUACUACUCGGCUCGAGUAUGGGAGAGGGCAGUGGAAUUCCCGGUGUAGCGGCGAAAUGCGUAGAUAUCGGGAGGAACAUCAGUGGCGAAGGCGGCUGCCUGGCCCAAUACUGACACUCAGGUGCGACAGCGUGGGGAGCAAACAGG
This 253-nucleotide ribosomal RNA is filed under the name uncultured bacterium. Its description in RNAcentral is "partial 16S ribosomal RNA". It matches the Rfam family "Bacterial small subunit ribosomal RNA", at positions 524 to 776 of the family's 1533-position model. The record is from RNAcentral.